CCGUGUGAUACUGAUGUCUCACCUUCUCUCCCAUAUGUUAUCUUCAAGUUUUAGUUUUUCUUUUUUCAUCUCUCUUAAAUUAUUUAGAUAGAGUAAAAACUACUUGGUUGGAAUAUUGGACGUUAUUAAGGUUAGUUUUAUAUAUCUAUAUACUGACUAUAUAUACCCAUAUAAGAUACUCGUAUGAUCUCUUAUCAUCUUUUCUUCUUUAAGGUCCAAAGGAAUUGUUUUUAUCUCUUGUUUUGAAUUUCUUUAGAAAUAAUACUUCCUAAUUAUUAAGUACAUGUUAAAACUGACAACAUUAUAUUAUUGGCAUCGUUUUAUAAUUAUUCCAUGUCUUUUGAUUUAUAAAUUUUGGAUCCACGUUUAGUUUGCUUUAAAACUGUGACGUUCUCACUUCCAGAGCAAUCGUUAUUAUUAGCUAGUAACAAUGAAUACAAUUUGUAGUUUAGAAAAAUACAGGUCGAUGAUUAUUUCUUAGCUAGCAUAUAAAACAUCUAUGAGAUUCCGACCAAGAAGUAAUCAUUACGAUUCUAUAAAUUAGAUUUGUUUCCGUUAUCGAUUUAUGCUUUAAGUACGUAGGUUAUCUGAUCAGCAAUAACAUUCAAAGGAAAGAUGACAACAAUUUAGCCUUCGUAGGACAACACAACAUGAGCACUUUACAUAGCCUUUGUAAUUUUUAGCCAAUUUGACGUGGGUUUCGGACUCUUGAUCGACAUUAAUCAUCACCAUGCUAAAGGUCAGAAUAGUGACAUCAAAACGGACAGUCACGCCAGCAAGCGGAUCGGGCGAGACAAAGAAGAAUAUUGUUGCGAAUAUGACAUACGAAAUAGGUAUAAUUAAGCAAAGGGUGUGGAAUAAAACAAAAUUCUUCUGAGAUUAUAUUAACUUAAGCAUUGGAAUUGUUCUUGAAAUAGAAGUUGUAUUGAUUGAUAAAACUAAUUUAUUAAAUUCUUCAUAUUUAAAAUAUUUCAAAUUAAAAAACCACACUCACACACAUAUACUUAAAUGGCCCAUGUACACAAAAUAUAAGUUUCGAAGAAAAAAAAAAAACGUCAACCAUUCUUAGCACAAAAAUUGUUGAAUGGGUCAUAAAUAUACGCACUUCAUCCACUAUGUUCUGAGUGCUCCAUUGAAGGCCUAAAUAGCUUCAUAUCUUUUAGACGUUGUAAAAAAAAGAAAAAAACUUCGUAUGGACAUAAGAUUUGGGGAAUCGUUAUUAUAUAUCAUUAGGCAUAUCAUAUUCUAUGAUAUAUACGUGUAUAUAAUUUCAGUUGCGUGAUCUUUAUUGUAAUUAUAGUAGAUAUAAACGAUUAAUGGUUAAAGUUUAAUCAAUAAUUAGAUAAACAAUGUUAGAUAAUGGAAACUAAAGUGAGGAAAAAGACGAGGGCACUAACAUGUAAAUGCUGGAAGAGGAAUAUCAUCGAACAAAAACAACAACAACACAGCUCAAUCCUCAAAAUACAAAUAUAAGUAACAUUUUUUUGUGUGUGCAUGUUUGCAUCAUAUAUACGUACAUUUUUGCAUAUUGCGAAUAUCUCACACAAAAAGACAGAAGCAUUUACUCUUAUAUAGCUGCUAUUUUCCCUUACAAAAUUAUUAUUACGAAUUACUUCUGUAAAACCGCGGCAGUACUCUAGUUAUAAUAUAUUGUAAUAUGUCAAAAAUAUCACAUCAUAUUUCUAGUAGUCCUCUUGGACCAUUAAUUACUAAUUAGAACUAUUUCAUUCUCCACUAAAAAUUUUUCUUCCGUACAAGCGAAUAUGUUACUAACAUAGUGCUCUUGGCUUAUGUGUUAGAACUUUACUAAUAUGGUGCUAUUGGCUUAACAUU
Molecule: unclassified non-coding RNA, 1833 nt
Filed under: Arabidopsis thaliana (thale cress)
Lineage: Eukaryota; Viridiplantae; Streptophyta; Magnoliopsida; Brassicales; Brassicaceae
Source: RNAcentral